UGGCUCUCGCAUCGAUGAAGAACGCAGCGAAAUGCGAUAAGUAAUGUGAAUUGCAGAAUUCAGUGAAUCAUCGAAUCUUUGAACGCACCUUGCGCCCCUUGGCUAUUCCGAGGGGCAUGCCUGUUUGAGUAUCAUGAACACCUCAACUCUCAUGGUUUGCCAUGAUGAGUUGGACUCUGGGGGUUUUGCUGGCCUGUGGUCGGCUCCUCUCAAAUUAAUCAGCCUCCCAGUGUUUGGUGGCAUCACGGGUGUGAUAAAUAUCUACGCUCGCUGUUGUCUGCCAGGUAACCUUUGGUCACAAAGGUUUGCUGGAGCUCACAGAUGUCUCUCCUCAGCGAGGACAGCUUUUUUAACGUUCGAUCUCAAAUCAGGUAGGACUACCCGCUGA
RNAcentral lists this unclassified non-coding RNA (388 nucleotides) under uncultured fungus. RNAcentral describes it as "partial contains 5.8S ribosomal RNA and internal transcribed spacer 2". The stretch from base 1 to 134 matches the Rfam family "5.8S ribosomal RNA", at positions 22 to 154 of the family's 154-position model. The record is from RNAcentral. Lineage: Eukaryota; Fungi.